UUUUUGAGUGAAAGAGAAAGGCCUGGUUGGAGAAUGACGGCUGAAACAGAUGGCAUUUAUUAGUGUGAGACUUUCAUAUCAUAUUCAUAUGCUAAUAUGCUAUGCUUGUGGUUAUGGCUUCUCUUGUACAAGUGCAAGUACUUGUUGAAGUGGUUAACAGGUUAAGGUUCUCUUUCAAAAGGAAAACAAUGCCAUCAGACCCAAUAAUUCAAUUCAGAGGAUGUUGAUUUUCAUUCCAUGAAAAGCCUAGAGGCUAAUCAAGGUUGAUUUUAUGUUCCGGCCUUUCACUAAUGUUUUUCAUUGGAAAUGCUGUUAACUGGCACACCUUGGCUUUAAUUGGUGCCACUCCAUCUCUGUUACAACUUGUGGGAUUAUUCUUUGUUCUAGAGUCUCCUAGAUGACUCGAAAAACUUGGUAAAGAAAAAGAGCUUCAAGCUUCGUUACAGCUUCUUAGUGGAUAUUUCCCAAGAAGCAGUAGAGAUCGUGGAUUAUACAGAAAACUUUCAACUUUAACAGCACUCAAAAUCUAGCAUUCUAGACUUAUUCCAGAAGAGAUAUGUUCAUUCCCUCAUUGUUGGACUUGGGUUGAUGGCAUUGCAACAAUUUGGAGGGGCCACCACAAUUGCAUAUUAUGCAAGCUUUAUAUUUGUAAAUGCUGGUUUUUCAAGCAGCAUUGGGACUAUAUCAAUGGCAAUUAUCCAGAUUCCAGCUACUGCCUUUAGUGUAGUCUUGAUAGAUAAAUCAGGAAGAUGGCCACUUCUUAUCGUGAGGACAUCACAAAAUCAACUUUAAGUUUAUGGUGUAUAGUUUAGUCCAUUGCAUUAAAGUUUGCUAACUCUUGCAGGUCUCUGCUGCUGGAAUGUGCUUAAGUAGCUUCCUUGUAGGCUUGGCAUUCUUCUUUUAGGUUUCUUUUGAAAAUAAAUUCAAAGCUUCUCUGUCUGUGGUUCUGAUUUCCACCUAAAUGAAGGAUCUUUUGUCACGAGCAGGACCUCCAUUGGUUGAAGGAGCUCACUCCCAUCUUGGUGCUGAUUGGGAU
Quercus robur (English oak) is the source of this 1036-nucleotide long non-coding RNA. RefSeq lists it as uncharacterized. The record is from RefSeq and is a predicted model, not a curated record. Lineage: Eukaryota; Viridiplantae; Streptophyta; Magnoliopsida; Fagales; Fagaceae. The transcript is spliced from 8 exons.